UCUAAUAAAUUUAUUCUUGAACGACGACAAGUCUAGUAAAUUAGAACAAAGAAAAAUGUAAUAAAUCAACACCCUUUAUACCACUCCAAUCAAUUUACAUAUUGAAUCCAGCGCGAGAGGAAAAAAACUAGAAAAUACUAGAACAAAAAUCACUGUCUUAAACUUGCUCAUCACUUUGGCAAUUGCAAGAAACUGGGUUGGCCAAAUAUGUAGGCAUAUCGUCACCAGCCAUGAUGACAACAAUAUUUGGCUCCAUUUCUGCUUUCAUCUCAACUUGGUUAGCAGAUUUUUCUUGAACCUCAGGAUCAGUAGCCGAAGUCGAAGAAGAUUUUCUAUAGGAGCAAGCUAGAAUCAUCAAUGCCACUGCAACAAGUCCAAACAUUAAACCUAUACCAGAAAAAAGGAUGAUGAAGCUGGCAAUGUUCUGUAUUUAUAGCACCAUUAGUUAAAGUUCCACCGUGGUAGGAUGAGAACAAGGGAGUUGAACAGGAAAGUCAUCUCAUUGCCGUUGGUUUUGGCAAGAAUAGAUGAUGGAAUGAUUAUGAUUCUCUCUUGGGCUCUACUUAUACUUUAGGGGAACAUUGAUUGACAUGGGAGAGCCUAAAAUACCAUUCUUUGUCCCUGAAAAACAAUUGCCUAACCUGGUAACUAACUCAUAAAUCCUUAGCUCUAUCAAAUCAAGAUGAGGAUCUGACUUCAGAAUAGUAAUUGGGUUGCUCUUAAGCAUAUUUAGGCGGCUCCAAAAUCAUUUUUUAAUUAACCCUCCAAUUAAAUUCAUGUGUAUGUAUUUUCUUUAAUUUUACUUUUGUUGCCGUAGAUUCUUUUGGUUUAUGUUCCACACAAAAAAUCGUUUUCAGUUCUUGAUUAAGGUUGUAGAGGUGGGAUUUCAUUUCUAGACACGUUCAUCUUGAUAAUCUAUUUUCUUUUAUUUUA
Molecule: long non-coding RNA, 933 nt
Organism: Populus nigra (black poplar)
Lineage: Eukaryota; Viridiplantae; Streptophyta; Magnoliopsida; Malpighiales; Salicaceae
Exons: 2
Source: RefSeq, a predicted model, not a curated record